RNAcentral lists this ribosomal RNA (497 nucleotides) under uncultured bacterium. RNAcentral describes it as "partial 16S ribosomal RNA". It matches the Rfam family "Bacterial small subunit ribosomal RNA", at positions 28 to 507 of the family's 1533-position model. The record is from RNAcentral.
GAUGAACGCUGGCGGCGUGCCUAAUACAUGCAAGUCGAGCGAACAGACGAGAAGCUUGCUCCUCUGAUGUUAGCGGCGGACGGGUGAGUAACACGUGGAUAACCUACCUAUAAGACUGGGAUAACUUCGGGAAACCGGAGCUAAUACCGGAUAAUAUUUUGAACCGCAUGGUUCAAUAGUGAAAGACGGUCUUGCUGUCACUUAUAGAUGGAUCCGCGCUGCAUUAGCUAGUUGGUAAGGUAACGGCUUACCAAGGCAACGAUGCAUAGCCGACCUGAGAGGGUGAUCGGCCACACUGGAACUGAGACACGGUCCAGACUCCUACGGGAGGCAGCAGUAGGGAAUCUUCCGCAAUGGGCGAAAGCCUGACGGAGCAACGCCGCGUGAGUGAUGAAGGUCUUCGGAUCGUAAAACUCUGUUAUUAGGGAAGAACAAAUGUGUAAGUAACUGUGCACGUCUUGACGGUACCUAAUCAGAAAGCCACGGCUAACUACGUG